Molecule: ribosomal RNA, 497 nt
Filed under: uncultured bacterium
Lineage: Bacteria
Description: partial 16S ribosomal RNA
Rfam family: Bacterial small subunit ribosomal RNA
Source: RNAcentral
GAUGAACGCUGGCGGCGUGCCUAAUACAUGCAAGUCGAGCGAACGGACGAGAAGCUUGCUUUUCUGAUGUUAGCGGCGGACGGGUGAGUAACACGUGGAUAACCUACCUAUAAGACUGGGAUAACUUCGGGAAACCGGAGCUAAUACCGGAUAAUAUUUUGAACCGCAUGGUUCAAAAGUGAAAGACGGUCUUGCUGUCACUUAUAGAUGGAUCCGCGCUGCAUUGGCUAGUUGGUAAGGUAACGGCUUACCAAGGCAACGAUGCAUAGCCGACCUGAGAGGGUGAUCGGCCACACUGGAACUGAGACACGGUCCAGACUCCUACGGGAGGCAGCAGUAGGGAAUCUUCCGCAAAGGGCGAAAGCCUGACGGAGCAACGCCGCGUGAGUGAUGAAGGUCUUCGGAUCGUAAAACUCUGUUAUUAGGGAAGAACAUAUGUGUAAGUAACUGUGCACAUCUUGACGGUACCUAAUCAGAAAGCCGCGGCUAACUACGUG